Molecule: long non-coding RNA, 661 nt
Organism: Passer domesticus (house sparrow)
Lineage: Eukaryota; Metazoa; Chordata; Aves; Passeriformes; Passeridae
Exons: 4
Source: RefSeq, a predicted model, not a curated record
UCUGCCAGUGCUGGGUCUCCAAGAGUGGGAUCACUAGGUGGACAAGAAUUAGGAUCAGUUUCUAAAUGUUCCCUGUCCUGUUUAAUAAUGGCAAGGUGCUGGGGGUUGUAUCUCAGGGAAGCUGGUGACCAUUAGGCCUCUCCAGCAAAAGGCACAGUGUGCACAAGGCAAUGAGGCCAGACUUCCAAAAAUAGAGGUACAAGGUGAAAUACCAGGAGCGUAUCAUCCGCCUGAGUUGGAAUUCUAGCAGAUAAUGAGAGAACCACAAACUGAUUUUGCUCUGAACAAAGUUUUCCCAGUCCUCUGGAUCCCAACUUCCAGGCAAGACUCUGCUGCAUUUCUCUGUACUUCUGAGGGCUCACAGCUAAAGGCUCUGCUGUGGACACAUCAAGCAUGAAACAGCUCAACUCCCAACAGAUUUCAGGUUCAGAGCUGCCUGUUUUCAAAUUCCACUUGGUGCUCAAACAAGCCUCAGGAUCCCUGGUUUCUCAUCAGAGUUGCUUGGUCGCACCGAGUGCUCCCUCCAGAGCAGGGUAACUCUGUUAAAAAGACUCCUCUUUUACACCUGCGGAAGGAAGAGAAGAAUCAAGGCCAUCCCCCGCAGGAAGAAUGCACAUAAAAUACUUGCUGCAUGGUGUGCUGGAAAAAAAAACAAUCCCCC